GUUAUCGCCUGCUGUGCUUGCCAUUUUCUGACCAAAUUACUGAAAGCCAUCACGUACCCAUCAGCACGUUCACUUCUUUGGAUGCCCCAGCGUCGACUUCAACGGAAUACAGCUAAGGAUAUUCUCAGGUAAGCUGGGUUGAAUUUUUUUAUGAUUGAAAGAUUAUGCACAGACUGGUUGGAAGAAGAACGUAAGGCACGAAGAGAAGGUUUUGGACGCCGAAACGCAGCUAAAGCCUAGAGAAGACCAUCAUCUCAUCAGAAUGUCUCGGGCCAAGUGCUCUGCGUCACAAACAAUAUUGUGCAGAAUGGCGAACGGCUGCAAAUUCGCCAAUAUCAUCUAGCAAAACAUGUCGUUUACUGUGCUCUGGAUUGCAGAUGCAUCAGUUGCUUUCCAUUUUAUUUAUGACAACUCAGCAAUGAACAGUCAGACUGUAACUGGGGGAUCAAAGGUCCCGCAUGGCAGAUUGAGUGGCAUGAAAUCCUUUUCUCCGAUGUAUCACGAUUUUGUUUAAGCGAAAAAGAAAAUUGCAUAUGUAUGUCCAAUAUCAAUGGCUGAAGUACAUCAAGAAGACUGCAUUUGUACCUGGCAUACCGUAUCAUAUCGGAUUACUACUUGUAUGAGAUGUAAUUAAACUAAGAUCACCCUUCGUAAACGUUCAAGCCAUCAUAACGAAUUUCAGUACGCUAACUGCAUUCUGCAAUCAGUCGCACUUCCGUACUUGUAAAGCCUACCUCGGAUAACGUUUCAGCAAGAUAAUGCCAUUACUACUACUGCAGUAACAACGUAAGCCUUCUUCAGAUUUAACAAUGACCAGUCGCACUUUUGUACUUGAAAAGUUUCCUUGGGGUAAUUUUCUCGCAAGACAAUGCCAAUUCUACGAUUGCAGUAAAAACGCAAGCCUUUUUCAUAGUUAUCAAUAGCCCAGUUUUUCACUGAUUGCCUAGAUAUGUGCUUAAAAGGAAAAUGUGUGGAAUUUACUCAGAUGAAAUGUGAUGCAUUAGUGAAGUUUGGUUAUUCCACACGAUGCCAUUAAAAUUUUGUUUAAUUCACUGCCAAAUUAUAUAGAGCAAACAGUACAGGCCAGAUGUGAACAAGAAGAUACUAAGUUUGAUUACGAACAUAAUGCUUAUCGUUUUGGAAUAUUAAUCAUAAUGUGUUCAAAAAUAAAAAAAUUUAGCUA
Stegodyphus dumicola is the source of this 1183-nucleotide long non-coding RNA. Lineage: Eukaryota; Metazoa; Arthropoda; Arachnida; Araneae; Eresidae. The record is from RefSeq and is a predicted model, not a curated record.